GAUAAGAACGCAGCGAAAUGCGAUAAGUAGUGUGAAUUGCAGAAUUCAGUGAAUCAUCGAAUCUUUGAACGCACAUUGCGCCCUUUGGUAUUCCAAAGGGCAUGCCUGUUCGAGCGUCAUUUGUACCCUCAAGCUUUGCUUGGUGUUGGGCGUCUUGUCUCUAGCUUUGCUGGAGACUCGCCUUAAAGUAAUUGGCAGCCGGCCUACUGGUUUCGGAGCGCAGCACAAGUCGCACUCUCUAUCAGCAAAGGUCUAGCAUCCAUUAAGCCUUUUUUUUCAACUUUUGACCUCGGAUCAGGUAGGGAUACCCGCUGAACUUAAGCAUAUCAAUAAGCGGAGGA
Molecule: unclassified non-coding RNA, 341 nt
Filed under: soil metagenome
Description: partial contains 5.8S ribosomal RNA, internal transcribed spacer 2, and large subunit ribosomal RNA
Rfam family: 5.8S ribosomal RNA (bases 4-119)
Source: RNAcentral